This 383-nucleotide ribosomal RNA is filed under the name Gyrodinium sp. RNAcentral describes it as "partial small subunit ribosomal RNA". It matches the Rfam family "Eukaryotic small subunit ribosomal RNA", at positions 587 to 975 of the family's 1831-position model. The record is from RNAcentral. Lineage: Eukaryota; Dinophyceae; Gymnodiniales; Gymnodiniaceae.
AGCUCCAAUAGCGUAUAUUAAAGUUGUUGCGGUUAAAAAGCUCGUAGUUGGAUUUCUGCUGAGGACGACCGGUCCGCCCUCUGGGUGAGUAUCUGGCUUGGCCUUGGCAUCUUCUUGGAGAACGUAGCUGCACUUGACUGUGUGGGGCGGUAUCCAGGAGUUGUACUUUGAGGAAAUUAGAGUGUUUCAAGCAGGCACACGCCUUGAAUACUUUAGCAUGGAAUAAUAAGAUAGGACCUUGGUUCUAUUUUGUUGGUUUCUAGAGCUGAGGUAAUGAUUAAUAGGGAUAGUUGGGGGCAUUCGUAUUUAACUGUCAGAGGUGAAUUCUUGGAUUUGUUAAAGACGGACUACUGCGAAAGCAUUUGCCAAGGAUGUUUUCAUUG